UACCAGCACCCCGAGUGGUCGGGACGAUUAUUGGGCCUAAAGCAUCCGUAGCCGGUCCUACAAGUCUUCCGUUAAAUCCACCUGCUUAACAGAUGGGCUGCGGAAGAUACUAUAGGGCUAGGAGGCGGGAGAGGCAAGCGGUACUCAGUGGGUAGGGGUAAAACCCUCUGAUCCAUUGAAGACCACCAGUGGCGAAGGCGGCUUGCCAGAACGCGCUCGACGGUGAGGGAUGAAAGCUGGGGGAGCAAACCGG
This 253-nucleotide ribosomal RNA is filed under the name uncultured bacterium. Its description in RNAcentral is "partial 16S ribosomal RNA". It matches the Rfam family "Archaeal small subunit ribosomal RNA", at positions 474 to 727 of the family's 1478-position model. The record is from RNAcentral.